Haemorhous mexicanus (house finch) is the source of this 631-nucleotide long non-coding RNA. RefSeq lists it as uncharacterized. The transcript is spliced from 2 exons. The record is from RefSeq and is a predicted model, not a curated record. NCBI's taxonomy places the organism in Eukaryota, Metazoa, Chordata, Aves, Passeriformes, Fringillidae.
CUGAUGUUGUAGCAGGGGGUGAGUGCAAACCUGCCUGGCCUCGUGCAUUGCAGCUGCUCUGGGCUGUUCCUAAACUCCUUGCUAAAUGCAGACUUCCUGCUCAAGCAGCAUCUCAUCAUCUUCCAGCAGCUCUGGGUUUUCUCCAGGACUUUUUGACAUAUCUCUAGGAUGAAGACUGUUCCUUUAGUCAUCUUCGGCUAAAGACGCCUUCAAGAAGAAAGUUCAAAUGACCUGGGGAAAAUUCCAAACAGCACGGAAGAGGAAAACAAGUAUCCCAGCCCUUAGAGUGAGGGAGAUACCUCACUUAUAUUAGCUCCAUAUUAUGUCUAAUAUCUACUUCUGUGAAGCACCUAUCUGCUGGUGUGUGUACAUAUAUUUACACACAGACAGAUAUAUUCCAUUGUAUACACUUAUUUGUGUAAUCACAUUAUAAACAGCACGUGCAUUCUGCGAGUGCCUAUACCUAUAAUCAGUAUUAUACAUAUAUACAUACAUAUAUAUAUAUAUAUAUAUACACUCAAAGUUUGAAUAAAUACAUUAUAUUCCAUAUUUUGAAGGAGAGAUAUUCUUGUGGUUUUUAUUAAAUGUAAGGCUCUGCAACCAUAAAAUAAAGCCAACUCUUCACAAAUCA